GCAAUGCCGCGUGUGUGAAGAAGGCCUUCGGGUUGUAAAGCACUUUUAUCAGGAGCGAAAUACUGCCGGCUAAUACCCGGCGGGGCUGACGGUACCUGAGGAAUAAGCACCGGCUAACUUCGUGCCAGCAGCCGCGGUAAUACGAAGGGUGCAAGCGUUAAUCGGAAUUACUGGGCGUAAAGCGUGCGUAGGCGGUUCUUUAAGUCUGCUGUGAAAUCCCCGGGCUCAACCUGGGAAUGGCAGUGGAUACUGGAGAGCUAGAGUGUGAUAGAAGAUGGUGGAAUUCCCGGUGUAGCGGUGAAAUGCGUAGAGAUCGGGAGGAACAUCAGUGGCGAAGGCGGCCAUCUGGAUCAACACUGACGCUGAGGCACGAAAGCGUGGGGAGCAAACAGGAUUAGAUACCCUGGUAGUCCACGCCCUAAACGAUGCGAACUGGAUGUUGGUCUCAACUCGGAGAUCAGUGUCGAAGCUAACGCGUUAAGUUCGCCGCCUGGGGAGUACGGUCGCAAGACUGAAACUCAAAGGAAUUGACGGGGGCCCGCACAAGCGGUGGAGUAUGUGGUUUAAUUCGAUGCAACGCGAAGAACCUUACCUGGCCUUGACAUGUCUGGAAUC
This 615-nucleotide ribosomal RNA is filed under the name Dyella sp. IBb303. RNAcentral's name for it is "bacterial SSU rRNA". It matches the Rfam family "Bacterial small subunit ribosomal RNA", at positions 391 to 997 of the family's 1533-position model. Lineage: Bacteria; Pseudomonadati; Pseudomonadota; Gammaproteobacteria; Lysobacterales; Rhodanobacteraceae. The record is from RNAcentral.